AGCCAGACUCCUACGGGAGGCAGCAGUGGGGAAUAUUGCACAAUGGGGGAAACCCUGAUGCAGCGACGCCGCGUGAGCGAUGAAGUAUUUCGGUAUGUAAAGCUCUAUCAGCAGGGAAGAAGAUGACGGUACCUGACUAAGAAGCCCCGGCUAACUACGUGCCAGCAGCCGCGGUAAUACGUAGGGGGCAAGCGUUAUCCGGAUUUACUGGGUGUAAAGGGAGCGUAGACGGCGAUGCAAGCCAGAUGUGAAAGCCCGGGGCUCAACCCCGGGACUGCAUUUGGAACUGUGUGGCUGGAGUGUCGGAGAGGCAGGCGGAAUUCCUAGUGUAGCGGUGAAAUGCGUAGAUAUUAGGAGGAACACCAGUGGCGAAGGCGGCCUGCUGGACGAUGACUGACGUUGAGGCUCGAAAGCGUGGGGAGCAAACAGGAUUAGAUACCCGAGUAA
Molecule: ribosomal RNA, 447 nt
Filed under: uncultured bacterium
Lineage: Bacteria
Description: bacterial SSU rRNA
Rfam family: Bacterial small subunit ribosomal RNA
Source: RNAcentral